AGCAUCUCUCGUGCGAUGUGUCCUUUCCGUGUCGAGUCAUCCAGGAACAUCAGUUGUGACGCGCGUGUCGAGGCUCAUGUUGAUGACGUACGUGGUGACGGUCGAAGCCUCGCAAGGCGGCCGGACCACGUGACUGAUUCAGGAAACAGGCUCGUUCGAGGUGUGUGUGUGUGUGUGUGUGUGUGUGUGUGUGUAUGUGUGUGUGUGUGUGUGUGUGUGUGUUUGUGUGUGUGUGUGUGUGUGAUCUCGCAGUCCGUGCAGCUACUUUGGAGAGGACGUGUCGGUGGAGAAGCUGAAGAUGUACCACCCCGACUUCAUCCGUUACCUCAGGAACAGAUUCCUUCGCUCCAAGGUCCUGAAGACCAAAUACAAGGCCGGUUACCGCCCGUCGACCGGCGCCGUGAUGCUGCUGGCCGCGCUGCACACCUGCGACCAGGUGAGCGCGUACGGCUUCAUGACCCCCGACUACAGGAAGUACUCCGACCACUACUACGACCGCAGCUACCGGCCCGUGGGCUUCUUCGUGAACCACGACCUGCACCUGGAGACGAGCCUGUGGCAGCAGCUGCACCGGGCCGGCCUCAUCCGGCUCUACAUGCGCCAGUGACGUCGGGUUCCUCCCGUCGGCAGACAGGAAGUCCCGUUUCUCUCUCAAGACGUCGUUCGGGACUCAAGAACAAAAGAAAGUAGCAGAAGUUUUGUUUUUGUGAAGGAAAACAAAAGAGUAUUUUUGUAUUGACGGCUGCGGUUAUUGUUCAUUAUAUAGAUUUACUUUUCUUUUUCGAGAUUUUGUAAUUCGACAACUAUUGAAUGGAUAACUUUUAAUUCUGCCUCAUUUGAAUGAUGUCAAAUAGUUAAUGACCAUAAAACUACAAAGGGAACGACGUUCCGCUACUUGGUUCAAAGAUGCUAAUAAACAAAAGUAAACGUUUCUCCUGCUGAGCAUCUGUUUCUAACUGUAUCCAUGCCAGUUCCUCUCUCCCUCGUCUCCUAGUUCCUCUCUCCCUCGUCUCCUAGUACCUCCCUUGUCUCCUAGUUCCUCUCUCCCUCGUCUCCUAGUACCUCCCUUGUCUCCUAGUUCCUCUCUCCCUCGUCUCCUAGUACCUCCCUUGUCUCCUAGUUCCUCUCUCCCUCAAAUGGAAACCUGAAACCUGCUUCAAGGAGUGAGAAGCGUCGGCAGUCGUUUUUAAUUCGUACGGAUACGGUCAAAGCAAUGAGGUCACAGAUUGUUUUAUUUGAUAUUGAUAUACUUUGAAUCAACUGUGUGUGAACGGACAUUUACCCAGUGACUUAAAACUGCUGUGUGUGUGUGUGUGUGUGUGUGUUUUUUUAGGUAAAGGGACUUCAUUUAUUUAUUUUGUUUUAAAGCACACCAGUGUACUUUUCGUCCACAAGGUGGCGCAGUGAGACGAUGAGAACAUUGUGUCGUCUCUACUGGACUUUCAGAGCCUUUUAAAAACAAAACUAAGUGAACCCGUAGUUUGGUUGUUGUUGUUGUUGUUGGCGCUGAUGGUCCAAAGCUCCUCCAGAUUUGUUGUUGUCUGGAAACCAAAGGCAAACUGCAAGUCGGGAGCAUUUAGUGUCCAACGUUUAGUUUGUGUGCUGUGGAGUCGAUACGUAUCCAGACAAAGUGAUCCAGUCAACUGAAGUGUUGCAUCGUGUUUUCACAAAGUGCAAACAGGGAGAACUUCAGAGUGCAAUUUUAGAUUUAGACCUUUUUAAAUUCUGUAUAGACUAAACUGAUCUCAGCUGGUUUGUUUUCUUGCUUGGUCCCAUAACUUAGUAUGAUUUCCCAGAAAUUAACUGAAGUGUAACUGUAAACUCUUAUAUUUGUGAAGAUGACUUUCGAUUAAUUAAAUGAAUUUAAUUACUGG
Molecule: long non-coding RNA, 1874 nt
Filed under: Cyclopterus lumpus (lumpfish)
Lineage: Eukaryota; Metazoa; Chordata; Actinopteri; Perciformes; Cyclopteridae
Description: lncRNA (ENSCLMG00005005642.1)
Source: RNAcentral